Molecule: ribosomal RNA, 253 nt
Filed under: uncultured bacterium
Lineage: Bacteria
Description: partial 16S ribosomal RNA
Rfam family: Bacterial small subunit ribosomal RNA
Source: RNAcentral
UACGUAGGGUCCGAGCGUUGUCCGGAAUUACUGGGCGUAAAGAGCUCGUAGGUGGUUUGUCGCGUUGUUCGUGAAAACUCACAGCUUAACUGUGGGCGUGCGGGCGAUACGGGCAGACUUGAGUACUGCAGGGGAGACUGGAAUUCCUGGUGUAGCGGUGGAAUGCGCAGAUAUCAGGAAGAACACCAAUGGCGAAAGCAGCUUUCUGGGACGGUACUGACGCUGAGACGCGAAAGCGUGGGGAGCGAACAGG